UUGGCCUCUUCGAAGAUUGCUAUACCUGUUUUCCGUGGUAUAGUGAUUCAAAGCGACGCCUAGAACAACCCACGACUAAUUUGGCUUUUACUUCUCAGUACACUACAAUUAAAGAAGUUCGUUAACGGAGUAGAACUGGU
This 140-nucleotide small nucleolar RNA is filed under the name Scheffersomyces stipitis CBS 6054. The record is from RNAcentral. Lineage: Eukaryota; Fungi; Ascomycota; Pichiomycetes; Serinales; Debaryomycetaceae.